CUCUCCGCGCUCACGCACGGCGCAUGCGUCCUGGCAGGGUCUCGCGGGCGCUGACCGGUCUUCGCCGCGUCCCGUCUGUGAACGUCGCCGCCGCCAGCCGUCCGCGGCCCCCUGCCCGGAAAUCUCGGAGAGCGGAGCUGCGAUCGAAACCUAACUGCAAGAAGCCGAGAGUGCCGGAGAAGCCCGGCCGUGGCCCGGGAGGGACUCGCUUCUUCAAGACUCGCAAGCGCUGUGGAGACAGAAAGACUGGCAGGCAGUGACCGGUGGGGCGGCUCUUAGGCCGAGCUCCCGGUUUCUCGGGACUGGGGACUCGGCCACUUCGCUCCCUUCUGUCUGGACUCUGCCUCCGGGGUGCUGGCUCCGGGCCUUCCACCGUGUCCCGGGGCUGUGGACAGGACGCCUAGGCGGCUGGAGGCUGCGGAGUUUUACAGCACAGGAGCCGGGACGUAGCGUGUUAGGAGUGUGGCCUUUGACGUCAGCGCUGGGGCGAAGUCACAUCCCAGCCCUGUGACCUCUUGAAGCCUGAGUUGCCCCGUUGGUAAAGCGGGGUGGGUGGUUCCAGAUUCAGCGUCUCUUCCAGCUUGACGCAGAGCUUGGGAGAUGAAUGACCCGGCGUGUAAGAUGCACCCCUGGGAUCGACGGCAGCAGCUCCCGCGGCCUCUGUUGCACACCAUCUACAGAUAAUAAUUCUCCAAACCGCGUGGUAGGAAGACCUGGGCCGCAGAAGUUAAGCGGUAUUCGGUUUAUCAUCAGCCCUAGGUUUUUUUUUCCGGUUUUAGAGUAAGUUCCUACCUGCACUAAAAGUAGGAUGCGCCUACCGCCAUCCUCAUUUGUAGAACUGCAGGGAAAAAAUUUAAGUUACUUAUGAGUUCUGUACAGCCCUGUCCCUUUCUAGUCAAGUACCUGUUGGAUAUUUCUACUUGUUUUCUCAAACUUCUUUUUAUCUUGACUUUAUACAAAAUAGUGCUUGUGGAGUUUUUUUAAAUGUACAAAAGCUUACCAAAAGCACAAGUUACUGUUUUUCCCUCAGACCCACUCCUCACAGGUAACCCCUGUUAGUAAGUUUCUUGGAUACCUUAAAAUGCUUAGCAAAUAUUUUCUGAAUGCAUAAAUGUCCUUCAGUGAAUUUUCUUUGCCUGUGCAAUCACAUGUGUAUGUAAGUUGCCUUUUCUCUUUAACAACAUACUUAAACCUUCUGUCAUUUCACAGCUGCGGGGUACUGGCACUCCAUCAUAUGGUGGUAUUUAACCACUCUGCUGUUGAUAGGCAUUCAUGUUUAUAAUUUCUUGUUAUUAUAAACAGUGUUGCAGGGAAGAUCCUUGAACAGCACAUGGAGUGUCUGACUCAAGCUCUGAGUUGUUUUUCCAGGAGCUGAGAAUCAGCCUGGUGAUGGCAAAAGAAUAUGGACUUGGGAUCCAAAGACUCGAGCACACAUGCCCAAGGCAGCCUCCUGAUAUCAGGGCUGUAGGAUACUUCGAAGAAGUAGAACAGAAUUGGCCAUUAUGAAGACCAGACUCCUGACUUGCCUGCCUUCUGGAAAGCAAUAGGCAUUAAUUCCUUCAUUUAUUCAAGUAGCCAUUUAAUGAGUACUCACUAUUUAUUAUGUGCCACAGACUAUAGGAUAGAGCUUUUCCCAUCCAGGAACUUUCAGUCUCAUCAGAGAUAAGACACACUCAUGAGAAAUAAAAUAUACAAGACAAUACAAGAGAGGAAAUAGCUGUCAAGCAGCCUAGACUUCAGAGGAGAGCUAUCACUUUCAGCUAGAAUGAUGGGGAAAGGAUUUCAUCAUAAAGAUUUCAUGAUGGAAUUGGAAUUUAGAGAGCUGUGAAUGGCAGGUGUAUUUAGAUAGCUGCUGUCACAGCCGUAAGGAUCAUCUAUUUUAGCUUUGGGGGAGAAUCCCCUGCAGGCCAGGAUGUGUGCCUGGCUCCCAAAAAUGAAACUGUGAGCACAUUUUCCUCUAGAAGCAUUGUUUUAAAUUAUCUAAACUACAAUUCAGUGACUGGAGCUAUGUUAUGGUAGCUAGAUUAUAAAGUCUAUAUUUAGAAAUAGACAUAAACUUUUGUGAUCUGAGUUAAGUAGCAGUAUGUGCCACUGAUGGAAAACUUUGUUCCACUGUUCUGAACAGCCAGCUUACAGAUGAGCUUUGCAGUACCACCUGUUCAUACAUUAGAAACUACAAUAGGGAGGCAUUGAAAGUUCUUGAGCAGAGGAGCAAUAUCAAAAUCUUUUGGGGAAAGUUAUCUGGUGCAAGCAUGCAGGACGGAUUUCAGCUGCAGAGCUUUAAAGGUUACUGCCGAACCCCAGGUGUGAGGUAACAGCAGGAAGAGACAGAUGCAAAAGAUAGUAUGCAAAAGAUAUCGACCAAAUUAGUGUUUUUUAAAAAAUCACAUAGGGAAUUCCCUGGUGGUCCAGUGGUUAGGACUCUGCACUUCCACUGCAUGGGCCCGGGUUUGACCCCUGGUCAGGGAACUAAGAUCCCACGAGCCACGUGGCACAGCCAAAAAAUAAAAUAAAAAUCACAAAAUUUACCUGACAACUGGAUUCCUUUGCUAAUUCAGUAAGUAUUGUGUGCCUACUAGGUGCCAGGCACUGAGGAGGCAACAGGAGCAAAACAAAGCCCCACCCUCAGGGAGCUUAUGGUACAAUUGGGGAAGAUGAGUCAACGUACAUUUGAGGGCUUACUGUGUGCCAGGCACUGACGGAGGAGCUGGAGAUGUAGCAGUAAAUAAAGCUUUAAAAUCCCUGCUUCUGUGGAGCUUACAUUCUGAGAAUGCAAAUAAUACGUGUUAAAAGGAAAAACCAAGGAGUAAGGGGGACAGGAGUGUACACAGGUUUACAGAACAGAAAGUGAUGGCGUGGAGGGGUGGGUAUAUACUGUUCAUUCAAUAAGUUUGGUUGUGAAUGAAAAGAGAGAUGGAGUGGCUGGUGAGAACAGUGGGGUGAAUAAUGUAUUUUUCAGGAUAGCGUAGGUAGAGGAUUGGCAGCCAGUGAACAGUAAGGACUGAGCAGUAAGGGUGGAAGGAAGAUGGGUUAGGAGCACUUUAAAAAGCUCAACUGGCAAAGAGGAGAGUAAAGAAGUGUGGUGUCAGAGGCUGAGGGUAAAGGAGAGGGACCCUCACGCCUGAGGUGCCUCAGGGUAGCAGUAGGAGAGACCGAGGGCCAGUGCGGCGGAGGCCUGCAGGGACCUGUGAAAUCCACAACUCAGACUGGUCAGCAAUGGACUCUAUAGUUGCUGAAAUAGGUAUCGAAGGAGGAAGCAUAUGCUGCAAUCAUGUAAUGGGGGAAUUGGGUGUAAACAAGAAUUGAGAGGGCAGGUAUGCUGAAUGUAUGUCGGACUUCAAAUGAGGAGUGGGAUGGGGCACCGUCCAACAUGCUGGUCCAAGAGGGAAGGACUAAAGGGAACCAUCUGGUCUCUCCCUUUGAUGGGACUGGGAAUUGGCCCUUUACCCCUCACCUGCAUGCCUGAGGCCAUAUCAAGAGACUUGGCAAUCACCUUGCCCUGCCCUUUGGUAGCCCCCCCAAAUCAAGUGACCAUGAAGUUCCUUGAUCGCAGGGACCAUCCUGAUAUCCACUGGGGACUAGCACAUGGUAGGCACUUGGUUUCUGUUCAGUUAAAGUGAAACCGCACAUAGAAUUUAAAGAGUUAGAAGGAACAUCAGAAAUAAUCCGGUUAAAAAAAA
This is a long non-coding RNA of Balaenoptera musculus (blue whale), 3680 nucleotides long. RefSeq lists it as uncharacterized. The record is from RefSeq and is a predicted model, not a curated record. The transcript is spliced from 2 exons. NCBI's taxonomy places the organism in Eukaryota, Metazoa, Chordata, Mammalia, Artiodactyla, Balaenopteridae.